RNAcentral lists this transfer RNA (66 nucleotides) under Ocypode stimpsoni. Its description in RNAcentral is "tRNA-Ala". The record is from RNAcentral. Lineage: Eukaryota; Metazoa; Arthropoda; Malacostraca; Decapoda; Ocypodidae.
UAAGACCAUAGUCAAUAUCUAUGACGCAUGAGUUGCAUUCAUGAAGAGUUUCUAAACUGGUUUUAU